RNAcentral lists this ribosomal RNA (207 nucleotides) under uncultured bacterium. RNAcentral's name for it is "partial 16S ribosomal RNA". It matches the Rfam family "Bacterial small subunit ribosomal RNA", at positions 568 to 774 of the family's 1533-position model. The record is from RNAcentral.
CGCGUAGGCGGCCAUGCGUGUCUUCCGUGAAAUCCCUCGGCUUAACUGAGGACGUGCGGAAGAAACUGCAAGGCUUGAGUCCGGGAGAGGGGGGUGGAAUUCCCAGUGUAGCGGUGAAAUGCGUAGAUAUUGGGAGGAACACCGGUGGCGAAGGCGGCCCCCUGGACCGGUACUGACGCUGAGGCGCGAAAGCGUGGGUAGCAAACG